UACGGGGGGGGCAAGCGUUGUUCGGAAUUACUGGGCGUAAAGGGCUCGUAGGCGGCCAACUAAGUCAGACGUGAAAUCCCUCAGCUUAACUGGGGAACUGCGUCUGAUACUGGAUGGCUUGAGUUCGGGAGAGGGAUGCGGAAUUCCAGGUGUAGCGGUGAAAUGCGUAGAUAUCUGGAGGAACACCGGUGGCGAAGGCGGCAUCCCGGACCGACACUGACGCUGAGGAGCGAAAGCCAGGGGAGCAAACGGG
Molecule: ribosomal RNA, 253 nt
Filed under: uncultured bacterium
Lineage: Bacteria
Description: partial 16S ribosomal RNA
Rfam family: Bacterial small subunit ribosomal RNA
Source: RNAcentral